CCUUCAUAGCUCUAAUGAUUUUUCUGUCAGCAGCUGCUGUGGUCAUCUUUAGAAUGCAUACACUUCAUCUUUUUAUUAAGGUAAUCCAUAUUAUAUAGGUCUCAUUUUUCUCCAAUGGCUAUAAAUAAUCCUACAUAACCUGUAUUUUCUUUCUUAUCAUGCACGCAUGUUCACUUGAAAUACAAAUGUCAUUAUUAUGCAAUCAAAAAUAUAUAUUUUUGCUAUUACUAAUAUCUACUAAGAUAUAAUAAUGUAAUAACUGAAUAAUAAAUCAUUCUUUUUACUUGGAUUCUCUGACUGUGUGAUAUUUUAUGCUGGGCAAGGUGCUAGAAAAUUCACUCACUGUCCAAUACCUUGCCUGGUAAAUAUUGGCUUUGCAAAACCUUCAAUUCUGCUUCACCCAGAAAACAGUGGUCAAAGAACUAUGUGCAUAUCACUCGGAAGUUCAACCUCGGUCGCAUCAGUUAAUCAUAAACUUCUCGGAUACAAUCGCAGAGGCAGACUUUACAGUAAUAUACAUUGCACCAUCUGCUUCAGUCCAGCUCCAGUAACACUCAUCAAAGCACGUAUUGAUGUGCUGAAUGCAGAAUGGUUUGUGCUGACUUCCAGUGAUAGGCUGGAUUUUCCUCACCACCUCCUAAAAGUCUCGGUGGACAACGUAAGGAACACAUGACUCACAUGACUUGAGAAGUGGUGUACAUGGCAAAUAGUUAUAGACUGCAGGAAUGCAUUAUUUAACAGUAACUGAAUUAAGCCGAGCAUAGUAAACAAAGCAAGCUAGACAACUAGAAUAACUCAGAAUACUAUUAUUGUGUUUAUUAUAGCUGGUCUUUUUAGAAUAUAACUGCUUCAUAAAAAAGAUGAGUAAGCCACUUUUACGGGGAGAAAAGACUAAGUAAUUAAAAGAUGAGCCAGAUGUCUGAGAAAAGCCUAGCAGGAUAUAUUUAAACCCCUAAUGAGCAGUGGCAAUGAAAAAAAAAACUCCCUGAGAUGAUCUGAGGAAGAAACCCUGAGAGGAACCCAUCCUCUUCUGGAUGACAGCAGAUAGUGGGACUAUAAAUCACUAGGCUACUCUUCCACAGUUGUGGACUAUAAAACCAAGCAGUACAGAUGGAUCCAUAACCCGCCCUGAGUCCCAUCAAAUGAUGGCGGAUGAAGUGUCAUCUUCCCUCUCGAUGCCUUUGAGAAGUUUCACCUCUGCAGGGAACUGUCAUCAACCUCCCCUCCUUCUCUCUCUCUCUCUCUCUCUCUCUCUCUCUCUUUCACUACCUCCCACCAUCAAGUUACUGAUACAAUCACAGGCUGGUUGAGCUGGCAUAUACGCAGCAGGAGGUGUUAGCUCAGGAGGCCAGGCCCUCAUUAAGAGUGUGCAUCCUGGGAGAGACCGCAGUUUACAGACCAGUGUGAGCAGAGGCGAUGAAUGAAGAGCCUCAUUCAUGAAUUAUCACCUUAUCUACCUCAAACCAGUCUUCAAUGCUGCACACACUCUCACACAUGAACUCACAGGUUCAAGCAUGUCCACAGACGUGCACACAUCUACCAGGUGAACUAAUGGUGUAUUAAUUAUGAAAACAAAUACAUGCAUCUCACAG
Ictalurus punctatus (channel catfish) is the source of this 1592-nucleotide long non-coding RNA. RefSeq lists it as uncharacterized. Lineage: Eukaryota; Metazoa; Chordata; Actinopteri; Siluriformes; Ictaluridae. The record is from RefSeq and is a predicted model, not a curated record. The transcript has 4 exons.